CGGACGGGUGAGUAAUGUCUGGGAAACUGCCUGAUGGAGGGGGAUAACUACUGGAAACGGUAGCUAAUACCGCAUAACGUCGCAAGACCAAAGAGGGGGACCUUCGGGCCUCUUGCCAUCGGAUGUGCCCAGAUGGGAUUAGCUAGUAGGUGGGGUAACGGCUCACCUAGGCGACGGUCCCUAGCUGGUCUGAGAGGAUGGCCAGCCACACUGGAACUGAGACACGGUCCAG
RNAcentral lists this ribosomal RNA (232 nucleotides) under uncultured bacterium. Its description in RNAcentral is "partial 16S ribosomal RNA". It matches the Rfam family "Bacterial small subunit ribosomal RNA", at positions 99 to 334 of the family's 1533-position model. The record is from RNAcentral.